UAGGGAAUCUUCCACAAUGGACGCAAGUCUGAUGGAGCAACGCCGCGUGAGUGAAGAAGGCUUUCGGGUCGUAAAACUCUGUUAUUGAAGAAGAACGUGUGUGACAGUAACUGGUCAUGCAGUGACGGUAUUCAAUCAGAAAGUCACGGCUAACUACGUGCCAGCAGCCGCGGUAAUACGUAGGUGGCAAGCGUUGUCCGGAUUUAUUGGGCGUAAAGCGAGUGCAGGCGGUCUUUUAAGUCCGANGUGAAAGCCUUCGGCUUAACCGAAGAAGGGCAUCGGAAACUGGGAGACUUGAGUGCAGAAGAGGAGAGUGGAACUCCAUGUGUAGCGGUGAAAUGCGUAGAUAUACGGAAGAACACCAGUGGCGAAGGCGGCUCUCUGGUCUGUAACUGACGCUGAGGCUCNAAAGCGUGGGUAGCAAACAGGAUUA
RNAcentral lists this ribosomal RNA (433 nucleotides) under uncultured bacterium. RNAcentral's name for it is "partial 16S ribosomal RNA". It matches the Rfam family "Bacterial small subunit ribosomal RNA", at positions 355 to 780 of the family's 1533-position model. The record is from RNAcentral.